UUAUUUUUCUAUUAUUGCUUAUUUCCCAUUUUCUGGUUGAAGAAGCAGAGGAGGAAGAGGAAGAAGCAGAAUCGAAUGGGCAACGCACAAUCGCCUCCCGCUGACCCUCGCUUCGCCAUGGCCAGCAGGGCAUUCUCGAAGCAGGAGCUGGACGAUCUGAAAGCUCUCUUCGAUUCCCUCGCCGCUCAAUCGCAAAGCAACGCCAAGUUCAUCUCUUCCUCCGUUUUCCAAGGGUAUUUUGGGAUUAAAGGCGUGCUUGGUGUUAGGAUGUUUGAUUUGUUCACUCAGAA
Molecule: long non-coding RNA, 290 nt
Organism: Asparagus officinalis (garden asparagus)
Lineage: Eukaryota; Viridiplantae; Streptophyta; Magnoliopsida; Asparagales; Asparagaceae
Exons: 3
Source: RefSeq, a predicted model, not a curated record